RNAcentral lists this ribosomal RNA (287 nucleotides) under uncultured bacterium. RNAcentral's name for it is "partial 16S ribosomal RNA". It matches the Rfam family "Bacterial small subunit ribosomal RNA", at positions 1103 to 1389 of the family's 1533-position model. The record is from RNAcentral.
CCNUGUCCUUGGUUGCCAGCGAUUUUGGUCGGGGACUCCAAGGAGACUGCCGGUGACAAACCGGAGGAAGGUGGGGAUGACGUCAAGUCCUCNUGGCCCUUAUGGGCAGGGCUACACACGUGCUACAAUGGCCGGUACANAGGGUCGCCAACCCGANAGGGGGAGCAAAUCCCACAAAGCCGGUCGUAUUCCGGAUCGGAGUCUGCAACUCGACUCCGUGAANUCGGAAUCGCUAGUAAUCGCANAUCAAAACGCUGCGGUGAAUACGUUCCCGGGCCUUGNACACA